GGGUUGUGAGGUUAAGCGACUAAGCGUACACGGUGGAUGCCCUGGCAGUCAGAGGCGAUGAAGGACGUGCUAAUCUGCGAUAAGCGUCGGUAAGGUGAUAUGAACCGUUAUAACCGGCGAUUUCCGAAUGGGGAAACCCAGUGUGAUUCGUCACACUAUCAUUAACUGAAUCCAUAGGUUAAUGAGGCGAACCGGGGGAACUGAAACAUCUAAGUACCCCGAGGAAAAGAAAUCAACCGAGAUUCCCCCAGUAGCGGCGAGCGAACGGGGAGCAGCCCAGAGCCUGAAUCAGUGUGUGUGUUAGUGGAAGCGUCUGGAAAGGCGCGCGAUACAGGGUGACAGCCCCGUACACAAAAAUGCACAUGCUGUGAGCUCGAUGAGUAGGGCGGGACACGUGGUAUCCUGUCUGAAUAUGGGGGGACCAUCCUCCAAGGCUAAAUACUCCUGACUGACCGAUAGUGAACCAGUACCGUGAGGGAAAGGCGAAAAGAACCCCGGCGAGGGGAGUGAAAAAGAACCUGAAACCGUGUACGUACAAGCAGUGGGAGCACGCUUAGGCGUGUGACUGCGUACCUUUUGUAUAAUGGGUCAGCGACUUAUAUUCUGUAGCAAGGUUAACCGAAUAGGGGAGCCGAAGGGAAACCGAGUCUUAACUGGGCGUUAAGUUGCAGGGUAUAGACCCGAAACCCGGUGAUCUAGCCAUGGGCAGGUUGAAGGUUGGGUAACACUAACUGGAGGACCGAACCGACUAAUGUUGAAAAAUUAGCGGAUGACUUGUGGCUGGGGGUGAAAGGCCAAUCAAACCGGGAGAUAGCUGGUUCUCCCCGAAAGCUAUUUAGGUAGCGCCUCGUGAAUUCAUCUCCGGGGGUAGAGCACUGUUUCGGCAAGGGGGUCAUCCCGACUUACCAACCCGAUGCAAACUGCGAAUACCGGAGAAUGUUAUCACGGGAGACACACGGCGGGUGCUAACGUCCGUCGUGAAGAGGGAAACAACCCAGACCGCCAGCUAAGGUCCCAAAGUCAUGGUUAAG
Molecule: ribosomal RNA, 1031 nt
Filed under: Shigella flexneri
Lineage: Bacteria; Pseudomonadati; Pseudomonadota; Gammaproteobacteria; Enterobacterales; Enterobacteriaceae
Description: partial 23S ribosomal RNA
Rfam family: Bacterial large subunit ribosomal RNA
Source: RNAcentral